RNAcentral lists this long non-coding RNA (1052 nucleotides) under Sus scrofa (pig). RNAcentral's name for it is "lncRNA (ENSSSCG00040031563.1)". Lineage: Eukaryota; Metazoa; Chordata; Mammalia; Artiodactyla; Suidae. The record is from RNAcentral.
AGCCACCGGCCUACACCACAGCCACAGCAACGAAGGAUCUGAGCCGCGUCUGCGACCUACACCACAGCUCACGGCAACCCUCCUGGGAACGUCCAUAUGCCUUGGGUGUGGCCCUAAAACAAACAAAAAACAACAAAAAAGCAAAUCACUUGUGAAACACUUACUAGCCUCAUUUGAUUGAUCCUACUUGGGCUUUUAGAGUUUAUCUACCUCAACUGCCAUCCUUCUACAUGCGAUGUAAAAGUUAAAAAUAAUUAUUUUGGAACCACUUACACAGAGAUGAACACAAAUAGUACAUACAUACCAAUAUAUCAUCUUGAUUUUGGUCCAUAUUUAAUGACCUUGUUCAGCCCUCCCCAUGCAAACACAAUUAGGUAUAACAACCUUAAUUUAAACCCAUUGUCAAAAGAAAACAUCCCUAAUGAAACACAACUUCAAAUUAGAGUUAAAUCUGUCUCCUAGACCAAAAUAUACAAAAGGUUCUUGCUUAUAUUUUUAAACUUCUUGUGACUUGUUUAAAGAUUCAAGGUUUUCACUGAAAUGACGCAUAGAUGACUAAAUUUUCAUUUAGGGCAAAUAGUAACUCAGGAAGAAUUCAACUGGUGCACUUGGAUUAGUUUCAAUACUUUUCAUCAAAACACAUGGAAAUAAAAUUGGCCAGAGGAAACUAUAUCUUCUUUUUUUUUUUNUUUUUUUUUUUUUUUGUUCUUUUGCCUUUUCUAGGGCCGAUCCUGCGGCAUAUGGAGGUUCCCAGGCUAGGGGUCUAAUCGGAGCUGUAGCCACCGGCCUACACCAGAGCCACAGCAACGAAGGAUCUGAGCAACUCAUGGCGACCUACACCACAACUCAUGGCAACACCUGAUCCUUAACCCACUGAGCAAGGCCAAGGAUCAAACACGCAACCUCAUGGUUCCUAUCAGAUUCAUUAACCACUUAGCCACAACGGGAACUACAACUAUACCUUUCUUUUGUUCUGUUUAAGGCCAAUGGUCUAAAGAAAGAAAGAAAAAAAGUACUUUUAAGUAGGGAUUGGUAUCAUUACAUUCCUUCCA